Molecule: non-coding RNA, 84 nt
Organism: Cryptococcus sp. DSM 104549
Lineage: Eukaryota; Fungi; Basidiomycota; Tremellomycetes; Tremellales; Cryptococcaceae
Source: the annotation of a GenBank genome assembly
GCGUCAAUCGUCUAGGGGUUAGGAUGGCUCCCUUCCAUUAAGUUGUGUCAGGAGUCGGCCGGCGUUCGAAUCGCCGUUGACGCA